Molecule: long non-coding RNA, 1387 nt
Filed under: Arabidopsis thaliana (thale cress)
Lineage: Eukaryota; Viridiplantae; Streptophyta; Magnoliopsida; Brassicales; Brassicaceae
Description: long non-coding RNA (ATHA_LNC000029)
Source: RNAcentral
GACUGAUCUUGUUCCAUUAGAAUUCUGUGAUGUUUUCACAGGAAAAUGGGUUCUUGAUAACGUCACACAUCCUUUAUACAAAGAAGAUGAAUGUGAGUUUCUAUCAGAGUGGGUGGCUUGUACAAGAAACGGGAGGCCAGACUCUAAGUACCAGAAAUGGAGAUGGCAACCUCAAGAUUGCUCUUUGCCAAGGUCAGUCCCAGCUUUCUGAGAACAAAAAUAAGCAAAAUGAAUAACACUUUCUUCUUCUCUCAAUAUUCUUUCUUUUUUCGGGUUCUAGGUUCGACAGUAAGCUGCUGCUAGAGAAACUCAGGGGAAAGAAACUAAUGUUCAUUGGUGAUUCAAUACAUUACAAUCAGUGGCAAUCCAUGGUUUGUAUGGUUCAAUCCGUGAUUCCCUCAGGCAAAAAGACCUUAAAACACACAGCACAAAUGUCCAUCUUCAACAUAGAGGUAUUAAAGACUAUCUUCUAUGCAAAAAGACAAUAAUCCAAGAAGCAAAAGAACUCCAAAUCUUACCUUCUCUACUAUUCUGAAUGUGUAGGAGUACAAUGCAACCAUAUCAUUUUACUGGGCACCUUUCCUAGUCGAAUCAAAUGCUGAUCCUCCAGACAAGAGAGACGGGAAGACCGAUCCAGUAAUCAUUCCUAAUUCAAUCUCGAAACACGGCGAGAACUGGAAAGACGCAGACUACCUCAUAUUCAACACCUACAUAUGGUGGACUAGACAUUCCACGAUCAAAGUUCUGUAAGUGAUAAACGAUCUCUCUACCAAGUUCCAAACUUUCAAAUUUGCCAAUCUUGAUGAAGUUUUCUACUUUGAUGCAUGAAGAAAACAAGAAUCUUUCAACAAAGGAGACUCAAAAGAGUACAAUGAAAUCGGAAUCUAUAUAGUAUACAAACAAGUGUUAUCAACAUGGACAAAAUGGCUAGAACAAAACAUCAACCCAAGUCAAACAUCUAUCUUCUUCAGCAGCAUGUCACCAACUCAUAUCAGGUACUAAAUCAUCAAACACCCAUAAAAAUCAAAACUUUACAGAGACUGAUCCUUUUCAGUUGCAAACAGAAGUUCAGAUUGGGGAUUCAAUGAAGGAAGCAAAUGUGAAAAAGAGACAGAACCAAUACUAAACAUGUCAAAACCAAUAAAUGUUGGAACAAAUCGAAGACUUUACGAAAUCGCACUGAAUGCGACCAAAUCUACAAAAGUGCCGAUUCAUUUCCUCAACAUAACGACUAUGUCAGAGUAUAGAAAAGAUGGGCAUACCUCAUUUUACGGUUCGAUAAAUGGGAAACUCAUGACGCCGGAGCAGAAGUUAGAUCCGAGAACUUUUGCUGAUUGUUAUCAUUGGUGUCUUCCGGGAUUGCCUGAUUCAUGGAACGAGUUGCUCU